AGUUGUUUAGCUAUAUAAGUAGAUAUUUUGAAAGUAUUUGAAAAGUAAAUCUUAACAACUU
This 61-nucleotide transfer RNA is filed under the name Sphaeroma serratum. Its description in RNAcentral is "tRNA-Ser". The record is from RNAcentral. Lineage: Eukaryota; Metazoa; Arthropoda; Malacostraca; Isopoda; Sphaeromatidae.